GGAUUCCCCUAGUAACUGCGAGUGAAGCGGGAAAAGCUCAAAUUUAAAAUCUGGUAGUCUUCGGCUGCCCGAGUUGUAAUCUAGAGAAGCAUUAUCCGCGCUGGACCGUGUACAAGUCUCCUGGAACGGAGCGUCAUAGAGGGUGAGAAUCCCGUCUUUGACACGGACUACCAGGGCUUUGUGAUGUGCUCUCAAAGAGUCGAGUUGUUUGGGAAUGCAGCUCUAAAUGGGUGGUAAAUUCCAUCUAAAGCUAAAUAUUGGCGAGAGACCGAUAGCGAACAAGUACCGUGAGGGAAAGAUGAAAAGAACUUUGGAAAGAGAGUUAAACAGUACGUGAAAUUGUUGAAAGGGAAACGCUUGAAGUCAGUCGCGUUUGCUGGGGAUCAACCUUGCUUCUUGCUUGGCUUACUUCCCAGUAGACGGGUCAGCAUCAAUUUUGACCGGUGGAUAAAGGCUAAGGGAAUGUGGCAUCUUCGGGUGUGUUAUAGCUCUUGGUCGCAUACAUCGGUUGGGAUUGAGGAACUCAGCACGCCGCAAGGCCGGGUCUUCGGACCACGUUCGUGCUUAGGAUGCUGGCAUAAUGGCUUUAAUCGACCCGUCUUGAAACACGGACCAAGGAGUCUAACAUGCCCGCGAGUGUUUGGGUGGAAAACCCGAGCGCGUAAUGAAAGUGAAAGUUGAGAUCCCUGUCGUG
RNAcentral lists this ribosomal RNA (694 nucleotides) under Blastosporella zonata. RNAcentral's name for it is "partial large subunit ribosomal RNA". It matches the Rfam family "Eukaryotic large subunit ribosomal RNA", at positions 72 to 752 of the family's 3401-position model. Lineage: Eukaryota; Fungi; Basidiomycota; Agaricomycetes; Agaricales; Lyophyllaceae. The record is from RNAcentral.